UACGGGGGGGGCAAGCGUUGUUCGGAAUUACUGGGCGUAAAGGGUUCGUAGGUGGCCAACUCAGUCAGACGUGAAAUCCCUCAGCUCAACUGGGGAACUGCGUCUGAUACUAGAUGGCUUGAGUGCAGGAGAGGAACGCGGAAUUCCAGGUGUAGCGGUGAAAUGCGUAGAUAUCUGGAGGAACACCGGUGGCGAAGGCGGCGUUCUGGACUGCAACUGACACUGAGGAACGAAAGCCAGGGGAGCAAACGGG
Molecule: ribosomal RNA, 253 nt
Filed under: uncultured bacterium
Lineage: Bacteria
Description: partial 16S ribosomal RNA
Rfam family: Bacterial small subunit ribosomal RNA
Source: RNAcentral